This 545-nucleotide unclassified non-coding RNA is filed under the name Hevea brasiliensis (rubber tree). The record is from RNAcentral. Lineage: Eukaryota; Viridiplantae; Streptophyta; Magnoliopsida; Malpighiales; Euphorbiaceae.
UUUUUAGGCCUAAAAAUAAAAUUAUCAGAGUUGUGUAGAGAUUGCUGGGUGCAUUAAAAUACAAUUUCUGAUCAUGUUUACGACAAAAGCAUCAUGGUUAACGCUUAAGGUACAAAGGAAACAUCAGCUUUAAGCUUAUCUUUGAUCUAUUGAUGGUCAUCAGCAACGAUAAUAUCAUCAUCAUCAUCACGAUAAAUACCCUCAUCCAUUUGCCACACUUGCAGAGUGUUGUCAUCAGCUACACUUGAAAUGACCCAGGGCUUAUUUUUGUUCCAUGAAAAAUCUGAGAUCUUAGCCUUGUGACCACCAUGAGAGAAAAGAAGUUCAGGAGGGCCAUCAUCAGCAUCUAACUCUAAUUGCUCCUCUCCAAUCCUGUUCAGAUCCCAAACAUUAACCCUUCUGUCAUCAGCAGUAGAUGCUAGUACCGUUUCAUGAUUAGGGUCCCACUCCACCUGGAAGACCUCUUCUGUGUGACCACUUAAAACAUGCAAAGGCACAGUCAGCUUCCGCAUAUCAAACAGGCCAACAGUAGCGUCUGAGGAUGC